AUGAUACUUUCUGCAUAUUUGUGGCUAUUCUCCAUGUUGGAGUUGUUACUGGCAAGCACUGUGACCAAAUGGGGCAUUGAAGCAUCUUACCGUGGCAAUAAUCUCAGAUAAUGUUUAUGAUACAAGAGAGUCUUUUCAUUACAUAUUAAGAAACAGAAGAACCAUCUUAGCCUCAGCCCAGGAUGAAAAAGUUUAAUGGUGAAUGAAGGAAAAACAUCAUUUUGUUCAAACAGCUUUCUAGAAACACAUUUUUGUAAAGUUUGUCCCAAUGUUUUUUUUCCCAGUUCUGUAAAUAAAAAUUAAAAUGAA
Molecule: long non-coding RNA, 309 nt
Organism: Suricata suricatta (meerkat)
Lineage: Eukaryota; Metazoa; Chordata; Mammalia; Carnivora; Herpestidae
Exons: 2
Source: RefSeq, a predicted model, not a curated record